ACCCCAUUCGUCUAGAGGCCUAGGACACCGCCCUUUCACGGCGGUAACAGGGGUUCGACUCCCCUAUGGGACGCCA
Molecule: transfer RNA, 76 nt
Filed under: Salinivibrio sp. IB574
Lineage: Bacteria; Pseudomonadati; Pseudomonadota; Gammaproteobacteria; Vibrionales; Vibrionaceae
Description: tRNA-Glu
Rfam family: tRNA
About the family: Transfer RNA (tRNA) molecules are approximately 80 nucleotides in length. Their secondary structure includes four short double-helical elements and three loops (D, anti-codon, and T loops).
Source: RNAcentral